Small nucleolar RNA from Phyllostomus hastatus (greater spear-nosed bat), 186 nucleotides. RefSeq annotates it as small nucleolar RNA SNORA74. The transcript has a single exon. NCBI's taxonomy places the organism in Eukaryota, Metazoa, Chordata, Mammalia, Chiroptera, Phyllostomidae. The record is from RefSeq and is a predicted model, not a curated record.
CCCAGCAGCCGUCAGCUGUGCAGACAGACUCACCACUGGGACAGGGUAACACUGCUGGGAGAGGAGCGUCCUGCCUUCUUCCUCCAGGUGUCUCUGUCACUGUCCUGGUGGCAUCUGGUGCUGGUGCAAGGCAGGACUGUGCUUCCUUGAGAGUGGCUGCUUAGUUCUAGUAUGGGAGAAGAUACA